Molecule: ribosomal RNA, 629 nt
Filed under: uncultured Flavobacteriaceae bacterium
Lineage: Bacteria; Pseudomonadati; Bacteroidota; Flavobacteriia; Flavobacteriales; Flavobacteriaceae
Description: bacterial SSU rRNA
Rfam family: Bacterial small subunit ribosomal RNA
Source: RNAcentral
CGUGCCAGCAGCCGCGGUAAUACGGAGGAUCCAAGCGUUAUCCGGAAUCAUUGGGUUUAAAGGGUCCGUAGGCGGUCUUAUAAGUCAGUGGUGAAAUCUCCCCGCUCAACGGGGAAACGGCCAUUGAUACUGUAGGACUUGAAUUAUUAGGAAGUAACUAGAAUAUGUAGUGUAGCGGUGAGAUGCUUAGAGAUUACAUGGAAUACCAAUUGCGAAGGCAGGUUACUACUAAUGGAUUGACGCUGAUGGACGAAAGCGUGGGUAGCGAACAGGAUUAGAUACCCUGGUAGUCCACGCCGUAAACGAUGGAUACUAGCUGUUGGGUGCAAACUCAGUGGCUAAGCGAAAGUGAUAAGUAUCCCACCUGGGGAGUACGUUCGCAAGAAUGAAACUCAAAGGAAUUGACGGGGGCCCGCACAAGCGGUGGAGCAUGUGGUUUAAUUCGAUGAUACGCGAGGAACCUUACCAAGGCUUAAAUGUAGAUUGACCGGUUUGGAAACAGACUUUUCGCAAGACAAUUUACAAGGUGCUGCAUGGUUGUCGUCAGCUCGUGCCGUGAGGUGUCAGGUUAAGUCCUAUAACGAGCGCAACCCCUGUUGUUGGUUGCCAGCGAGCGAAGUCGGGUAACU